Molecule: ribosomal RNA, 433 nt
Filed under: uncultured bacterium
Lineage: Bacteria
Description: partial 16S ribosomal RNA
Rfam family: Bacterial small subunit ribosomal RNA
Source: RNAcentral
AACGAACGCUGGCGGCAUGCCUAACACAUGCAAGUUGAACGAGACCUUCGGGUCUAGUGGCGCACGGGUGCGUAACGCGUGGGAACCUGCCCUUAGGUUCGGAAUAACUCCCCGAAAGGGGUGCUAAUACCGGAUAAUGUCUUCGGACCAAAGAUUUAUCGCCUUUGGAUGGGCCCGCGUUGGAUUAGCUAGUUGGUAGGGUAAAAGCCUACCAAGGCGACGAUCCAUAGCUGGUCUGAGAGGAUGAUCAGCCACACUGGGACUGAGACACGGCCCAGACUCCUACGGGAGGCAGCAGUGGGGAAUAUUGGACAAUGGGCGAAAGCCUGAUCCAGCAAUGCCGCGUGAGUGAUGAAGGCCUUAGGGUUGUAAAGCUCUUUUACCCGGGAUGAUAAUGACAGUACCGGGAGAGUAAGCUCCGGCUAACUCCGUG